RNAcentral lists this small RNA (1342 nucleotides) under Pongo abelii (Sumatran orangutan). RNAcentral describes it as "retained intron". The record is from RNAcentral. Lineage: Eukaryota; Metazoa; Chordata; Mammalia; Primates; Hominidae.
AUGGCGGUCAUGGCGCCCCGAACCCUCCUCCUGCUACUCUCGGGUGCCCCGGCCCUGACCCAGACCUGGGCGGGCUCCCACUCCAUGAGGUAUUUCAGCACCUCCGUGUCCCGGCCGGGCCGCGGGGAGCCCCGGUACCUCGAAGUCGGCUACGUGGACGACACGCAGUUCGUGCGGUUCGACAGCGACGCCGCGAGCCCGAGGAUGGAGCUGCGGGCGUCGUGGGUGCAGCAGGAGGGGCCAGAGUAUUGGGACCGGAACACACGGAGAGCCAAGGCCAACGCACAGACUGACCGAGUGGACCUAGGGACCCUGCGCGGCUACUACAACCAGAGCGAGGCCGGUGAGUGACCCCGGCCCGGAGCGCAGGUCACGACUCCUCCCCAUUCCCCACGGACGGGCCGGGUCGCCCACAGUCUCUGCGUCCGAGAUCCACCCCGAAGCCGCGGGACCCCGAGACCCUUGACCCGGGAGAGGCCCAGGCGCCUUUACCCAGUUUCAUUUUCAGUUUAGACCAAAAAUUCCCGCGGGUUGGUCGGGGCGGGGCGGGGCGGGGCUCGGGGGAAGGGGCUGACCGCGGGGGCGGGGCCAGGUUCUCACACCAUCCAGAGGAUGUAUGGCUGCGAAGUGGGGUCCCACGGGCGCUUCCUCCGCGGGUACCGGCAGGACGCCUACGACGGCAAGGAUUACAUCGCCCUAAACGAGGACCUGCGCUCUUGGACCGCGGCGGACAUUGCAGCUCAGAUCAUCAAGCGCAAGUGGGAGGCGGCCGGUGUGGGGGAGCAGGAGAGAGCCUACCUGGAGGGCACGUGCGUGGAGUGGCUCCGCAGACACCUGAAGAACGGGAAGGAGACGCUGCAGCGCACGGACCCCCCCAAGACACAUAUGACCCACCACCCCAUCUCUGACCAUGAGGCCACCCUGAGGUGCUGGGCCCUGGGCUUCUACCCUGCGGAGAUCACACUGACCUGGCAGCGGGAUGGGGAGGACCAGACCCAGGACACGGAGCUCGUGGAGACCAGGCCUGCAGGGGAUGGAACCUUCCAGAAGUGGGUGGCUGUGGUGGUGCCUUCUGGAAAGGAGCAGAGAUACACCUGCCAUGUGCAGCAUGAGGGUCUGCCUGAGCCCCUCACCCUGAGAUGGGAGCCGUCUUCCCAGCCCACCAUCCCCAUCGUGGUCAUCAUUGCUGGCCUGGUUCUCCUUGGAGCUGUGAUCACUGGAGCUGUGGUCGCUGCUGUGAUGUGGAGGAGGAAGAGCUCAGAUAGAAAAGGAGGGAGAUACUCUCAGGCUGCAAGCAGUGACAGUGCCCAGGGCUCUGAUGUGUCUCUCACAGCUUGUAAAG